AAGAAGGCCUUCGGGUUGUAAAGCACUUUUACCAGGAACGAAACGCGCCGGAUUAAUACUUUGGUGAACUGACGGUACCUGGGGAAUAAGCACCGGCUAACUUCGUGC
Molecule: ribosomal RNA, 108 nt
Filed under: uncultured bacterium
Lineage: Bacteria
Description: partial 16S ribosomal RNA
Source: RNAcentral